AAAAUCUAUCAAUUUUUUUAUUAUUUAUUUUAGUUAUAAUUAAUUUUAUAAAUCUCGUUAUAUUUAUUAUGCAUUUCAUAAAUUUUAUGAUUUUAAUAGAACACAAUAUUAAUGUUAAUUCAUGCAUAGUGUUACAUCCUUUUUCAAUUUUCUUUCCUCCAAAAGAUUUGAAGGGGAAUGUUUAGAAAUUCUUUUUUUGGCAGAGACGGGUUUGGUGUUUUGAUUGAACCGACGUGCUGACAAAUGUCUGUCUCACGCACAGUACACUAAAGCAAAACUACUACGUAAUAGAAGUACACUGUUGAAGGUCACCCAUGUUAUGUUUUCUUCUUUUCUUUUAUAUGAAUUUCAAUCACGAGGCAUAACAACGUUUGCUUACGCAGAUGCAGUUUCUGUUGAUUCUUUAUUUAUAUACUAAAUAAAUAGCAUGUUGUUAUCGGGGACCUUUAUUAUGAUACUCUGUUCUGUUCGUGAAUCUGGUAGAAUUAGUCCACUUCCUAAGUAUUGUGGAGGUCUGCAAUUGAUUUCUCCAAUCGACUAAUGUCAAAUUGAUCUUAGUUCACAUAUAACUUAAAGUUAGAGCCUUGAUUGGAUAAAGUGUAGUACAAAAUUUGUUUUCUUAACCACGAGAAAACCUUCAGGUAAGUUUCUUCCUGCAGUGGAGUGGUGGGUCACCAUUGUCGUGGACUUAGAAAUCUCAUAUUCACAGAAGAUGCGAGGACACGUGUAUUAGGGCAAUGGAUAUUCAUUUGUCACUAGACCCUUUUUACUAUUUUUUUUCCUCUUGUUUGCAGCAAGAGUUUUGGCUCUGAAUGCAGCUUAUUUCCUGAAAUUGAGAGGCCAUUUGUUCUAUCGAUUAAGGAUGCUAAAGCUGUUUAUGCUAAGGAAGUGGACAAGUUGAAGGCGGAUCUGUUCAAGCCUAUGGAGAUGGUAGAACUGUCCCAUUUUGGGCGAGACCAUGCAUGCGCUGUUUGUGGUUACCGGAUGCCAAAGGAACAGAAGACAAAUGCCUAAUUCCCAUAAUGAUGUUUCACCAAUUGGAGCCCCAAAAAAAUGAUACAGAUUUUCCCUUUUGAUACGAACAGUAAUUUAUACAUUUGAAGGCAUCAGUUCAAAGUUGGUAACAUUUGGAUAUGCUCUGCCCUUUCCAGCGAGUAGGUGUCUUUGUGCUUCUCUCUGCCUUGCUGUUGUUACUAGUUUUGAAAAGGACAGAUUGCUACGACUUAUAUUUAUCUUACAAAGAGCUGGGCAUUAGGACUCCACUUUUUCUUGGUUGCAUUCAUUAGGAUUCUCUUUUAAUUGACAUGCCUGCUAUUUUAAUGGCUUCGCCUAAUGAGACAAAUUAUGAGUGAUAGUCAAUCUUGGGAUUCCA
Ricinus communis (castor bean) is the source of this 1372-nucleotide RNA transcript. It is a transcript of the gene named rRNA 2'-O-methyltransferase fibrillarin 1-like, with no coding region annotated. The record is from RefSeq and is a predicted model, not a curated record. NCBI's taxonomy places the organism in Eukaryota, Viridiplantae, Streptophyta, Magnoliopsida, Malpighiales, Euphorbiaceae. The transcript has 2 exons.